This 300-nucleotide ribosomal RNA is filed under the name uncultured Methanomassiliicoccus sp. RNAcentral describes it as "bacterial SSU rRNA". It matches the Rfam family "Bacterial small subunit ribosomal RNA", at positions 496 to 795 of the family's 1533-position model. Lineage: Archaea; Methanobacteriati; Thermoplasmatota; Thermoplasmata; Methanomassiliicoccales; Methanomassiliicoccaceae. The record is from RNAcentral.
GCGAAAUUCGGGCCAGCAGCUGGGGUAAUACGAAGGGAGCGAGCGUGGUUCGGAAUCACUGGGCUUAAAGCGUGCGUAGGUGGAUUGGUAAGUAAGGAGUGAAAUCCCAGGGCUUAACCCUGGAACUGCUCUUUAGACUGCCUGUCUGGAAUUCGGAAGAGGUUGGUGGAACUCCCAGUGUAGAGGUGAAAUUCGCAGAUAUUGGGAAGAACACCGGUGGCGAAGGCGACCAACUGGUCCGACAUUGACACUGAGGCACGAAAGCGUGGGUAGCAAACAGGAUUAGAUACCCCUGUAGUC